UAACACAUGCAAGUCGAGGGGCAGCACGGAUUGCUUGCAAUUCGGUGGCGACCGGCGCACGGGUGCGGAACGCGUAUGGAACCUACCUUUGUCAGGGGAAUAGCCCAGAGAAAUUUGGAUUAAUGCCCCAUGGUAACUAUUAAUAUAGCAUUAUAUAAAUAGUAAAGGUUACGGUAUAAGAUGAGUAUGCGUCCUAUUAGUUAGUUGGUAAGGUAACGGCUUACCAAGACAACGAUAGGUAGGGGCCCUGAGAGGGGGAUCCCCCACACUGGUACUGAGACACGGACCAGACUCCUACGGGAGGCAGCAUUGAGGAAUAUUGGACAAUUGGAGGCAGCUCUGAUCCAGCCAUGCCGCGUGCAGGAAGACUGCCCUAUGGGUUGUAAACUGCUUUUAUAUAGGAAGAAACAUCGCGACGUGUCGGGAUUUGACGGUACUAUAAGAAUAAGGACCGGCUAACUCCGUGCCAGCAGCCGCGGAAUACGGAGGGUCCGAGCGUUAUCCGGAAUCAUUGGGUUUAAAGGGUCCGUAGGCGGGCUAUUAAGUCAGAGGUGAAAUUGUGCAGCUCAACUGUAGAACUGCCUUUGAUACUGAUAGUCUUGAGUUAUGGUGAGGUAGCCGGAACAUGUGGUGUAGCGGUGAAAUGCAUAGAUAUCACAUAGAACGCCGAUUGCGAAGGCAGGUUACCAACCAUAUACUGACGCUGAUGGACGAAAGCGUGGGGAGCGAACGGGAUUAGAUACCCCGGUAGUCCACGCCGUAAACGAUGGAUACUAGCUGUUCGGACUUCGGUCUGAGAGGCUAAGCGAAAGUGAUAAGUAUCCCACCUGGGGAGUACGUUCGCAAGAAUGAAACUCAAAGGAAUUGACGGGGGCCCGCACAAGCGGUGGAGCAUGUGGUUUAAUUCGAUGAUACGCGAGGAACCUUACCAGGGCUUAAAUGUAGAUUGACAGGUUUAGAGAUAGACUUUUCUUCGGACAAUUUACAAGGUGCUGCAUGGUUGUCGUCAGCUCGUGCCGUGAGGUGUCAGGUUAAGUCCUAUAACGAGCGCAACCCCUAUUGUUAGUUGCCAGCGAGUCAUGUCGGGGACUCUAACGGGACUGCCGGUGCAAACCGUGAGGAAGGUGGGGAUGACGUCAAAUCAUCACGGCCCUUACGUCCUGGGCCACACACGUGCUACAAUGGCCGGUACAGAGAGCAGCCACUUGGCAACAAGGAGCGAAUCUACAAAACCGGUCACAGUUCGGAUCGGGGUCUGCAACUCGACCCCGUGAAGCUGGAAUCGCUAGUAAUCGGAUAUCAGCCAUGAUCCGGUGAAUACGUUCCCGGGCCUUGUACACACCGCCCGUCAAGCCAUGGAAGCUGGGAGUAUCUGAAGUCGGUCACCGCAAGGA
RNAcentral lists this ribosomal RNA (1394 nucleotides) under uncultured prokaryote. Its description in RNAcentral is "partial 16S ribosomal RNA". It matches the Rfam family "Bacterial small subunit ribosomal RNA". The record is from RNAcentral.